RNAcentral lists this ribosomal RNA (387 nucleotides) under Mollusca environmental sample. Its description in RNAcentral is "partial large subunit ribosomal RNA". Lineage: Eukaryota; Metazoa; Mollusca. The record is from RNAcentral.
GUAUGAAUGAAGUAAUGAAUAGUAGCUAUAAUAAAAAAUAUUAUUUUAAUUUAAUGAACUGGUGAAAAUUCCAAUAUAUAGAAAAAAGACGAGAAGACCCUUAGAGUUUUUGAAAUAAAGAUUGUUUAAGACUUUAAUUAGAUACUACUCUUAAAGAAAUUAUACAAUACACUUUUUUGUUGGGGCGACAAGAAAGCAAUAUAACCUUUCUAUUGACACUAAAAGUGGUAUUAGAUCUGACGAAUUUAUUAUGAAUGACUAAACUACCUGAGGGAUAACAGCAUAAUGAUUAAUAUUAGUUUGUGACCUCGAUGUUGGACUAGGGACUUGUACACUAACCGUGAUAAAAGCUUGUUCUGUUCGAACAAUAAACCCCUACAUGAUCUG